GGUUAAGCGACUAAGCGUACACGGUGGAUGCCCUGGCAGUCAGAGGCGAUGAAGGACGUGCUAAUCUGCGAUAAGCGUCGGUAAGGUGAUAUGAACCGUUAUAACCGGCGAUUUCCGAAUGGGGAAACCCAGUGUGAUUCGUCACACUAUCAUUAACUGAAUCCAUAGGUUAAUGAGGCGAACCGGGGGAACUGAAACAUCUAAGUACCCCGAGGAAAAGAAAUCAACCGAGAUUCCCCCAGUAGCGGCGAGCGAACGGGGAGGAGCCCAGAGCCUGAAUCAGUGUGUGUGUUAGUGGAAGCGUCUGGAAAGGCGCGCGAUACAGGGUGACAGCCCCGUACACAAAAAUGCACAUGCUGUGAGCUCGAUGAGUAGGACGGGACACGUGGUAUCCUGUCUGAAUAUGGGGGGGCCAUCCUCCAAGGCUAAAUACUCCUGACUGACCGAUAGUGAACCAGUACCGUGAGGGAAAGGCGAAAAGAACCCCGGCGAGGGGAGUGAAAAAGAACCUGAAACCGUGUACGUACAAGCAGUGGGAGCACAGAGCAAUCUGUGUGACUGCGUACCUUUUGUAUAAUGGGUCAGCGACUUAUAUUCUGUAGCAAGGUUAACCGAAUAGGGGAGCCGAAGGGAAACCGAGUCUUAACUGGGCGUUAAGUUGCAGGGUAUAGACCCGAAACCCGGUGAUCUAGCCAUGGGCAGGUUGAAGGUUGGGUAACACUAACUGGAGGACCGAACCGACUAAUGUUGAAAAAUUAGCGGAUGACUUGUGGCUGGGGGUGAAAGGCCAAUCAAACCGGGAGAUAGCUGGUUCUCCCCGAAAGCUAUUUAGGUAGCGCCUCGUGAAUUCAUCUCCGGGGGUAGAGCACUGUUUCGGCAAGGGGGUCAUCCCGACUUACCAACCCGAUGCAAACUGCGAAUACCGGAGAAUGUUAUCACGGGAGACACACGGCGGGUGCUAACGUCCGUCGUGAAGAGGGAAACAACCCAGACCGCCAGCUAAGGUCCCAAAGUCAUGGUUAAGUGGGAAACGAUGUGGGAAGGCCCAGACAGCCAGGAUGUUGGCUUAGAAGCAGCCAUCAUUUAAAGAAAGCGUAAUAGCUCACUGGUCGAGUCGGCCUGCGCGGAAGAUGUAACGGGGCUAAACCAUGCACCGAAGCUGCGGCAGCGACGCUUAUGCGUUGUUGGGUAGGGGAGCGUUCUGUAAGCCUGUGAAGGUGUACUGUGAGGUAUGCUGGAGGUAUCAGAAGUGCGAAUGCUGACAUAAGUAACGAUAAAGCGGGUGAAAAGCCCGCUCGCCGGAAGACCAAGGGUUCCUGUCCAACGUUAAUCGGGGCAGGGUGAGUCGACCCCUAAGGCGAGGCCGAAAGGCGUAGUCGAUGGGAAACAGGUUAAUAUUCCUGUACUUGGUGUUACUGCGAAGGGGGGACGGAGAAGGCUAUGUUGGCCGGGCGACGGUUGUCCCGGUUUAAGCGUGUAGGCUGGUUUUCCAGGCAAAUCCGGAAAAUCAAGGCUGAGGCGUGAUGACGAGGCACUACGGUGCUGAAGCAACAAAUGCCCUGCUUCCAGGAAAAGCCUCUAAGCAUCAGGUAACAUCAAAUCGUACCCCAAACCGACACAGGUGGUCAGGUAGAGAAUACCAAGGCGCUUGAGAGAACUCGGGUGAAGGAACUAGGCAAAAUGGUGCCGUAACUUCGGGAGAAGGCACGCUGAUAUGUAGGUGAAGUCCCUCGCGGAUGGAGCUGAAAUCAGUCGAAGAUACCAGCUGGCUGCAACUGUUUAUUAAAAACACAGCACUGUGCAAACACGAAAGUGGACGUAUACGGUGUGACGCCUGCCCGGUGCCGGAAGGUUAAUUGAUGGGGUCAGCGCAAGCGAAGCUCUUGAUCGAAGCCCCGGUAAACGGCGGCCGUAACUAUAACGGUCCUAAGGUAGCGAAAUUCCUUGUCGGGUAAGUUCCGACCUGCACGAAUGGCGUAAUGAUGGCCAGGCUGUCUCCACCCGAGACUCAGUGAAAUUGAACUCGCUGUGAAGAUGCAGUGUACCCGCGGCAAGACGGAAAGACCCCGUGAACCUUUACUAUAGCUUGACACUGAACAUUGAGCCUUGAUGUGUAGGAUAGGUGGGAGGCUUGGAAGUGUGGACGCCAGUCUGCAUGGAGCCGACCUUGAAAUACCACCCUUUAAUGUUUGAUGUUCUAACGUUGACCCGUAAUCCGGGUUGCGGACAGUGUCUGGUGGGUAGUUUGACUGGGGCGGUCUCCUCCUAAAGAGUAACGGAGGAGCACGAAGGUUGGCUAAUCCUGGUCGGACAUCAGGAGGUUAGUGCAAUGGCAUAAGCCAGCUUGACUGCGAGCGUGACGGCGCGAGCAGGUGCGAAAGCAGGUCAUAGUGAUCCGGUGGUUCUGAAUGGAAGGGCCAUCGCUCAACGGAUAAAAGGUACUCCGGGGAUAACAGGCUGAUACCGCCCAAGAGUUCAUAUCGACGGCGGUGUUUGGCACCUCGAUGUCGGCUCAUCACAUCCUGGGGCUGAAGUAGGUCCCAAGGGUAUGGCUGUUCGCCAUUUAAAGUGGUACGCGAGCUGGGUUUAGAACGUCGUGAGACAGUUCGGUCCCUAUCUGCCGUGGGCGCUGGAGAACUGAGGGGGGCUGCUCCUAGUACGAGAGGACCGGAGUGGACGCAUCACUGGUGUUCGGGUUGUCAUGCCAAUGGCACUGCCCGGUAGCUAAAUGCGGAAGAGAUAAGUGCUGAAAGCAUCUAAGCACGAAACUUGCCCCGAGAUGAGUUCUCCCUGACUCCUUGAGAGUCCUGAAGGAACGUUGAAGACGACGACGUUGAUAGGCCGGGUGUGUAAGCGCAGCGAUGCGUUGAGCUAACCGGUACUAAUGAACCGUGAGGCUUAACCUU
This 2906-nucleotide ribosomal RNA is filed under the name Escherichia coli 9.0111. RNAcentral describes it as "bacterial LSU rRNA". It matches the Rfam family "Bacterial large subunit ribosomal RNA". Lineage: Bacteria; Pseudomonadati; Pseudomonadota; Gammaproteobacteria; Enterobacterales; Enterobacteriaceae. The record is from RNAcentral.